Molecule: long non-coding RNA, 325 nt
Filed under: Musa acuminata (dwarf banana)
Lineage: Eukaryota; Viridiplantae; Streptophyta; Magnoliopsida; Zingiberales; Musaceae
Description: long non-coding RNA (MACU_LNC004148)
Source: RNAcentral
CUACCAAGUCAUGCUCAUCGAGUUUGCUACCGAUAUCCCAAAGAAGCUACCUUACCCAACAUGUCAGCCUUGGAUUGGGAUGAAUUGAUAUGGUUUCCCACGUCACCUCCUCUUUGACAAGUCUGGUGCAUCCAAUUCGAACCAUCUUCCUACCUGUAAACUGCCGACAACAGGCCGCGAUUGCUAAUAGUAUUUGGUUUGGCUCAUUAAGGGAAGGAUGGUGCACCCUACCCCACCCUACCCUACUCCGAGCACGGAUGACAUUGCAAGUCUCAUUCGACGCUACGGUAAGCGAAACUCGUGGACGUCGUUUGCCACAUCUCCG